Molecule: long non-coding RNA, 770 nt
Organism: Hydra vulgaris (swiftwater hydra)
Lineage: Eukaryota; Metazoa; Cnidaria; Hydrozoa; Anthoathecata; Hydridae
Source: RefSeq, a predicted model, not a curated record
UUGGUUUUUUGUAACAAAUUGAGAAGAAUUUCGAAAUGCGGUUAAAGGCUUUGAUAUUUAUACGAAGAAUUCUUAGUUAAUCAAAAUUAUUGUUUUUUGUAUUUUUAUAAGAAAAUUCUUCUAACUUGUUAGGAAUGUAAUAUGAACAAUCCGUAAUAAUGUCAUUGAAAUAAUUAAAAUAAUUAUAUAGUUUUAAUUAUGAAUUAUAACUCACAUAGAAAUAAUUUAGAGAAAUAAGUUGAUUAGAAAUAAGUUGUGGUAAAUUGAUCAGAUUUAUUUGAGUGACACAAUUCGAAUAAACUCUUUGUUGCUCCGCACAAACAAAUAGAUGCAUUGUUAGGCUGGUGACACCAAAGUAUGUAAAUGAGUUUAAAUCACCUUUUGCCAACUUUUUAAUGGUUUGGAUUUUAUAUACAAAUUUGUAAAGUAUACAGUUGCCAUUAGUUAGCAUGUUAAAAAAAGUUUAAAACUCAUGCAAAAAGUUAUUAAGUAUGUGUAAUCAAUUAAAUGCAGAAGUCAUAGAAAGAUACUGGAAAUACUAAAUGAUAUUGAUUAUCUAGUUAACAUUGUCAGCAAAAACUGCAACUUCUUCAAAAGUUUAAUCGAUAAAGAACUUAUUUAAUGUUGUGUUUUUAGUUUGUUAUAGUACCUAUUGUUAUUAUCUGUUUAUUAGUUAUUAUAGUAAUUAUUGUCAAUAACUGGUGUAGUUAUCUACGUACUGGUUUAGCAGGCUAGAUCCAAGCUUCCUUCAACAUUUAUUAGAUUAUAAA